This 403-nucleotide ribosomal RNA is filed under the name uncultured bacterium. RNAcentral describes it as "partial 16S ribosomal RNA". It matches the Rfam family "Bacterial small subunit ribosomal RNA", at positions 30 to 526 of the family's 1533-position model. The record is from RNAcentral.
AUUGAACGCUGGCGGCAGGCCUAACACAUGCAAGUCGAGCGAGAGGCGGAAGCGUGAGUAUUGUAUGGGGACUGCCCGCUAGAGGGGGCUAACUACUGGAAACGCUAGAUCAUACCGCAUACUAUCGGAUAACCCAUAUGGGAUUAGCUAGUAGGUGUGGUAAUGGCUCACCUAGUCGACGAUCCCUAGCUGGUCUGAGAGGAUGAUCAGCCACACUGGGACUGAGACACGGCCCAGACUCCUACGGAGGCAGCAGUGGGGAAUAUUGCACAAUGGGCGCAAGCCUGAUGCAGCCAUGCCGCGUGUAUGAAGAAGGCCCUAGGGUUGUAAAGUACUUUCAGUCGGGAGGCGUUACCGACAGAAGAAGCACCGGCUAACUCCGUGCCAGCAGCCGCGGUAAUAC